GACGAACGCUGGCGGCGUGCUUAACACAUGCAAGUCGAACGCUGAAGCUCAGCUUGCUGGGUGGAUGAGUGGCGAACGGGUGAGUAACACGUGAGUAACCUGCCCUCUUCUUUGGGAUAACGCCCGGAAACGGGUGCUAAUACUGGAUAUUCACUGAUUCUCGCAUGGGGGUUGGUGGAAAGGUUUUUUCUGGUGGGGGAUGGGCUCGCGGCCUAUCAGCUUGUUGGUGGGGUGAUGGCCUACCAAGGCUUUGACGGGUAGCCGGCCUGAGAGGGGGACCGUUCACCUUGGGACUGGGCUACGGCCCUGACUCCUACGGGAGGCAGCAGUGGGGAAUAUUGCACGAUGGGCUAAAGCCUGAUGCAGCGACGCCGCGUGAGGGAUGGAGGCCUUCGGGUUGUAAACCUCUUUCGCUCAUGGUCAAGCCGCAGCUUUGGGUUGUGGUGAGGGUAGUGGGUAAAGAAGCGCCGGCUAACUACGUG
RNAcentral lists this ribosomal RNA (482 nucleotides) under uncultured bacterium. RNAcentral describes it as "partial 16S ribosomal RNA". It matches the Rfam family "Bacterial small subunit ribosomal RNA", at positions 28 to 507 of the family's 1533-position model. The record is from RNAcentral.